UUCGGGGUACUCGAGUGGCGAACGGGUGAGUAACACGUGGGUGAUCUGCCCUGCACUUUGGGAUAAGCCUGGGAAACUGGGUCUAAUACCGGAUAGGACUACGGCCUGCAUGGGUUGUGGUGGAAAGCUUUUGCGGUGUGGGAUGGGCCCGCGGCCUAUCAGCUUGUUGGUGGGGUGAUGGCCUACCAAGGCGACGACGGGUAGCCGGCCUGAGAGGGUGUCCGGCCACACUGGGACUGAGAUACGGCCCAGACUCCUACGGGAGGCAGCAGUGGGGAAUAUUGCACAAUGGGCGCAAGCCUGAUGCAGCGACGCCGCGUGGGGGAUGACGGCCUUCGGGUUGUAAACCCCUUUCAGCACAGACGAAGCGCAAGUGACGGUAUGUGCAGAAGAAGCACCGGCCAACUACGUGCCAGCAGCCGCGGUAAUACGUAGGGUGCGAGCGUUGUCCGGAAUUACUGGGCGUAAAGAGCUCGUAGGUGGUUUGUCGCGUUGUUCGUGAAAACUCACAGCUUAACUGUGGGCGUGCGGGCGAUACGGGCAGACUGGAGUACUGCAGGGGAGACUGGAAUUCCUGGUGUAGCGGUGGAAUGCGCAGAUAUCAGGAGGAACACCGGUGGCGAAGGCGGGUCUCUGGGCAGUAACUGACGCUGAGGAGCGAAAGCGUGGGGAGCGAACAGGAUUAGAUACCCUGGUAGUCCACGCCGUAAACGGUGGGUACUAGGUGUGGGUUUCCUUCCUUGGGAUCCGUGCCGUAGCUAACGCAUUAAGUACCCCGCCUGGGGAGUACGGCCGCAAGGCUAAAACUCAAAGGAAUUGACGGGGGCCCGCACAAGCGGCGGAGCAUGUGGAUUAAUUCGAUGCAACGCGAAGAACCUUACCUGGGUUUGACAUGCACAGGACGCCGGCAGAGAUGUCGGUUCCCUUGUGGCCUGUGUGCAGGUGGUGCAUGGCUGUCGUCAGCUCGUGUCGUGAGAUGUUGGGUUAAGUCCCGCAACGAGCGCAACCCUUGUCUCAUGUUGCCAGCGGGUAAUGCCGGGGACUCGUGAGAGACUGCCGGGGUCAACUCGGAGGAAGGUGGGGAUGACGUCAAGUCAUCAUGCCCCUUAUGUCCAGGGCUUCACACAUGCUACAAUGGCCGGUACAAAGGGCUGCGAUGCCGUGAGGUGGAGCGAAUCCUUUCAAAGCCGGUCUCAGUUCGGAUCGGGGUCUGCAACUCGACCCCGUGAAGUCGGAGUCGCUAGUAAUCGCAGAUCAGCAACGCUGCGGUGAAUACGUUCCCGGGCCUUGUACACACCGCCCGUCACGUCAUGAAAGUCGGUAACACCCGAAGCCGGUGGCCUAACCCCUCGUGGGAGGGAGCCGUCGAAGGU
This 1373-nucleotide ribosomal RNA is filed under the name Mycobacterium sp. Its description in RNAcentral is "bacterial SSU rRNA". It matches the Rfam family "Bacterial small subunit ribosomal RNA". The record is from RNAcentral. Lineage: Bacteria; Bacillati; Actinomycetota; Actinomycetes; Mycobacteriales; Mycobacteriaceae.